CCUACGGGAGGCAGCAGUAGGGAAUCUUCGACAAUGGGCGCAAGCCUGAUCGAGCAACGCCGCGUGAGUGAAGAAGGUUUUCGGAUCGUAAAACUCUGUUGUUGGAGAAGAACGUGCGCGAGAGUAACUGAUCGUCCAGUGACGGUAUCCAACCAGAAAGUCACGGCUGACUACGUGCCAGCAGCCGCGGUAAUACGUAGGUGGCAAGCGUUAUCCGGAUUUGUUGGGCGUAAAGCGAGCGCAGGCGGUUGCUUAGGUCUGAUGUGAAAGCCUUCGGCUUAACCGAAGAAGUGCAUCGGAAACCGGGCAACUUGAGUGCAGAAGAGGACAGUGGAAUUCCAUGUGUAGCGGUGGAAUGCGUAGAUAUAUGGAAGAACACCAGUGGCGAAGGCGGCUCUCUGGUCUGUAACUGACGCUGAGGCUCGAAAGCGUGGGUAGCGAACAGGAUUAGAUACCCGAGUAGUC
This 465-nucleotide ribosomal RNA is filed under the name uncultured bacterium. Its description in RNAcentral is "partial 16S ribosomal RNA". It matches the Rfam family "Bacterial small subunit ribosomal RNA", at positions 338 to 795 of the family's 1533-position model. The record is from RNAcentral.